This 587-nucleotide ribosomal RNA is filed under the name uncultured bacterium. RNAcentral's name for it is "bacterial SSU rRNA". It matches the Rfam family "Bacterial small subunit ribosomal RNA", at positions 338 to 916 of the family's 1533-position model. The record is from RNAcentral.
CCUACGGGAGGCAGCAGUAGGGAAUCUUCCACAAUGGACGAAAGUCUGAUGGAGCAACGCCGCGUGAGCGAUGAAGGCCUUCGGGUCGUAAAGCUCUGUUGUUAGGGAAGAACAAGUACCGGAGUAACUGCCGGUACCUUGACGGUACCUGACCAGAAAGCCACGGCUAACUACGUGCCAGCAGCCGCGGUAAUACGUAGGUGGCAAGCGUUGUCCGGAAUUAUUGGGCGUAAAGCGCGCGCAGGCGGUCCUUUAAGUCUGAUGUGAAAGCCCACGGCUCAACCGUGGAGGGUCAUUGGAAACUGGGGAACUUGAGUGCAGAAGAGGAGAGCGGAAUUCCACGUGUAGCGGUGAAAUGCGUAGAGAUGUGGAGGAACACCAGUGGCGAAGGCGGCUCUCUGGUCUGUAACUGACGCUGAGGCGCGAAAGCGUGGGGAGCGAACAGGAUUAGAUACCCUGGUAGUCCACGCCGUAAACGAUGAGUGCUAAGUGUUAGAGGGUUUCCGCCCUUUAGUGCUGCAGCAAACGCAUUAAGCACUCCGCCUGGGGAGUACGGCCGCAAGGCUGAAACUCAAAGGAAUUGACGG